Molecule: ribosomal RNA, 993 nt
Filed under: uncultured bacterium
Lineage: Bacteria
Description: bacterial SSU rRNA
Rfam family: Bacterial small subunit ribosomal RNA
Source: RNAcentral
AGAGUUUGAUCCUGGCUCAGGAUGAACGCUAGCGACAGGCCUAACACAUGCAAGUCGAGGGGCAGCACGGUGUGGCAACACACGGGUGGCGACCGGCGCACGGGUGAGUAACGCGUAUGCAACUUGCCUAUCAGAGGGGGAUAACCCGUCGAAAGACGGACUAAUACCGCAUGAAACAGGGGCCCCGCAUGGGGAUAUUUGUUAAAGAUACAUCGCUGAUAGAUAGGCAUGCGUUCCAUUAGGUAGUUGGCGGGGCAACGGCCCACCAAGCCGACGAUGGAUAGGGGUUCUGAGAGGAAGGUCCCCCACACUGGUACUGAGACACGGACCAGACUCCUACGGGAGGCAGCAGUGAGGAAUAUUGGUCAAUGGGCGAGAGCCUGAACCAGCCAAGUCGCGUGAGGGAAGACGGCCCUACGGGUUGUAAACCUCUUUUACAAGGGAAUAAAGGACACCACGGGUGGUGUUUUGCAUGUACCUUGUGAAUAAGCAUCGGCUAACUCCGUGCCAGCAGCCGCGGUAAUACGGAGGAUGCGAGCGUUAUCCGGAUUCAUUGGGUUUAAAGGGUGCGUAGGUGGCCCCUUAAGUCAGCGGUGAAAGUCAGUGGCUCAACCAUUGAACUGCCGUUGAAACUGGGGAGCUUGAGUACGUACGGGGCAGGCGGAAUGCGUGGUGUAGCGGUGAAAUGCAUAGAUAUCACGCAGAACCCCGAUCGCGAAGGCAGCCUGCCAGGCCGUGACUGACACUGAUGCACGAAAGCGUGGGUAUCGAACAGGAUUAGAUACCCUGGUAGUCCACGCAGUAAACGAUGAUCACUAGCUGUUUGCGAUAGAAUGUAAGCGGCACAGCGAAAGCGUUAAGUGAUCCACCUGGGGAGUACGCCGGCAACGGUGAAACUCAAAGGAAUUGACGGGGGCCCGCACAAGCGGAGGAACAUGUGGUUUAAUUCGAUGAUACGCGAGGAACCUUACCCGGGUUUGAACGGAGGAGGAC